RNAcentral lists this ribosomal RNA (305 nucleotides) under uncultured bacterium. RNAcentral describes it as "bacterial SSU rRNA". It matches the Rfam family "Bacterial small subunit ribosomal RNA", at positions 335 to 656 of the family's 1533-position model. The record is from RNAcentral.
AUACCUACGGGACGCAGCAGUGGGGAAUAUUGCGCAAUGGGGGAAACCCUGAUGCAGCAACGCCGCGUGAGUGAAGAAGGUUUUCGGAUUGUAAAGCUCUGUUAGCAGGGAAGAGGAAGGACGGUACCUGCAGAGGAAGCCACGGCUAACUACGCGCCAGCAGCCGCGGUAAUACGUAGGUGGCAAGCGUUGUUCGGAAUAACUGGGCGUAAAGGAUGCGUAGGCGGUUAAACAAGUUAUAUGUUAAAUAUAUAGGCUUAACCUGUAGAAAGCAUAUAAAACCGUUUAAAUAGAGAGCAGGAGAG